AAAUUGAAGAGUUUGAUCAUGGCUCAGAUUGAACGCUGGCGGCAGGCCUAACACAUGCAAGUCGAGCGGAAACGAGUUAUCUGAACCUUCGGGGAACGAUAACGGCGUCGAGCGGCGGACGGGUGAGUAAUGCCUAGGAAAUUGCCCUGAUGUGGGGGAUAACCAUUGGAAACGAUGGCUAAUACCGCAUGAUGCCUACGGGCCAAAGAGGGGGACCUUCGGGCCUCUCGCGUCAGGAUAUGCCUAGGUGGGAUUAGCUAGUUGGUGAGGUAAGGGCUCACCAAGGCGACGAUCCCUAGCUGGUCUGAGAGGAUGAUCAGCCACACUGGAACUGAGACACGGUCCAGACUCCUACGGGAGGCAGCAGUGGGGAAUAUUGCACAAUGGGCGCAAGCCUGAUGCAGCCAUGCCGCGUGUGUGAAGAAGGCCUUCGGGUUGUAAAGCACUUUCAGUCGUGAGGAAGGUGGUGUAGUUAAUAGCUGCAUUAUUUGACGUUAGCGACAGAAGAAGCACCGGCUAACUCCGUGCCAGCAGCCGCGGUAAUACGGAGGGUGCGAGCGUUAAUCGGAAUUACUGGGCGUAAAGCGCAUGCAGGUGGUUUGUUAAGUCAGAUGUGAAAGCCCGGGGCUCAACCUCGGAAUAGCAUUUGAAACUGGCAGACUAGAGUACUGUAGAGGGGGGUAGAAUUUCAGGUGUAGCGGUGAAAUGCGUAGAGAUCUGAAGGAAUACCGGUGGCGAAGGCGGCCCCCUGGACAGAUACUGACACUCAGAUGCGAAAGCGUGGGG
This 786-nucleotide ribosomal RNA is filed under the name Vibrio sp. 2-1(7). RNAcentral describes it as "bacterial SSU rRNA". It matches the Rfam family "Bacterial small subunit ribosomal RNA", at positions 1 to 766 of the family's 1533-position model. The record is from RNAcentral. Lineage: Bacteria; Pseudomonadati; Pseudomonadota; Gammaproteobacteria; Vibrionales; Vibrionaceae.